UACCUAGAUGCAGGCUCUGUCAGUAGAAUGAGCUGUCCCUGCCAGCGGUGUUGCUUGUCCUAAUAUCUGCUCCCAUUGUUUUUUUACAGACAUGUGAGCCAAGUGGUGGACCUUUGGAUCUAAGGGCUGGCUGUACAGGGAGCGCUCAUGGAUAAGUUGGUGUCUGAUGCCCACAAACUAAGAAAGUGGAUGAUACCUGUUCAGCAGCACCAUCAUGACACUUGGAGUUGCGCUGCAUGGGGAGGGUUUCUGAGACACCCUUCUAGAACAUGAUUGAAAUAGGACUAUGGAGCCCAUAGAAGUAUUCCAGGAGUUUCUGAAUAACAGCAAGGUGUCAGCUAUUCAAGCUCUGUAGUUGGUAAGUCAUAUGGUUCCCAGCCUCCAUCUACCUGAGUCUCCUCGCAGCUUCACUUCUGGGGGUCUACAUGGCAAUAGAUGAAUUUAGAACUGCACCUGCAGGAAGUCUUUGGGAGGUAAGCACACAUUUCUAUACUGACCAGAAUAAGGACAGAUCUCAGCAGAUGCCUACCUGCUCUCCUAAACUCAGGAGUGUGCAAGUGUUUCUAGCAAGACUGCUAGUGCUAAUGAAAAACCCAUUUACUAUGAAUACUAUGAAUAUUAUGAAGCCUAUGCAGCUUCAUAAGCAAUGUAGUGUAAACACUGUUGUCAUUCAAGAUUUCAUUUGCCCAAAUGUUUGUGAAAAACCAACUCAAGAUGAUAUGAAUAUAUUAGAGUGAAUUCAUACUGAAAUUUUGGCACUUUGUUGUGAAAGCAUUUGCAGUGCUGAACCAUCUCCUCCUGGAUUCUUUUAAGAUGCUCUGAGCUUUAUCACUA
Coturnix japonica (Japanese quail) is the source of this 834-nucleotide long non-coding RNA. RefSeq lists it as uncharacterized. The record is from RefSeq and is a predicted model, not a curated record. Lineage: Eukaryota; Metazoa; Chordata; Aves; Galliformes; Phasianidae.